This 32-nucleotide unclassified non-coding RNA is filed under the name synthetic construct. The record is from RNAcentral.
GAGGUCGGCCCGACUUCGGUCACUGCCACCUC